UGAAAUCUAGAUUUAUUGAGAAGGCAUCAGGAGGAACACGAUGCUAAGUUAAGUAUGACUUUUAAAAGAUUAAUACGGAUGGGUCAGCAGGUGGUGGGUUAGGUUGGUUUGGGUGACCGGCUGCAGCAUUGCUUUGCAGAGAAGUUGUAACAAAUGAUUGGGUUUGAUCUCAUUUGAACUGAAGCAAACUGAAAAAAAACCCUCAGCCCCAUUUAGCACAACCCAGCAGCCACGGAUUUGUGCCUACUCGCUGAUUUCACAGCGUUGUACAAGCCUACAGACCAAAGGGGGAAAAGCUGCUUGAACUCCUUGAAGCGCAGGGGCUGGUGCAGGGGUGCGGAGCCACAGCAUCACCCCUCGUUAGCAAAAUCCCCACCAAAGGCCAGCCCUCCCCAUCACAUCAGCUAACACUGGCUUCCUGAGAACCAGCUAAUCUUCGCAUGCCUCGGCCUUUCCCAACACAUCCUGGUUCACAAGUUCAGCAGCUUCAAAGUUGCAUCUGAUCAUUAACCCUGAAAGAUCAGAGAUUAGUACAGAGUUUAAAUGGCGUGUUUGGGAUGUCUGAGAGGCACAAAGUUCAGAACAAAUCUGUGCCCAAAUCCUGAGACAAUCUUCCCAAAGUUUAAGAGGCCAAUGCCUCUUAAAAGGGUUUCGGUUCAGGGGUGCGAUGCCUGAGCAUCGUGUAGGGUUGCGCCUUCAUUUCUCUUCUUUUCUUUUUAAAGUUACUUUCAUGCAGCUGCUAUUUCAAAAGUGACCAUGAGGUUUGGGUGCUUCUGGCUGUCUGUGGUGAGCGUGGCUGGGCUUGUAGAUCCCAGGGACUUCAGCCAGAAAGGCAAGACAGUCUAAAUAAAAGCCCUGCAAUUCAGUUCUUCAUUUAUGCCAGGGUCUUUGAUAGCAAAUUACUUUUCUCUUGUUCAUUUUCUCUGUCACUUUUAUUCCUGAUAAGAUAGUUAAAGAAGAAAGUGCUGUAUGUGACCAUGUUAUACACAAAAAACCCCAGCAGAAGACAGGAGCCCCAUCUAUCACAGCUGGUGAAAUUGCUGCUCCUCAGCAAACUGGGAUCGGCGGGUAUCGCUGGAGCCCUCAGCGAGGGGGAUCUCUCGGGAGCUGACGGAAGCUCAGGCUGAGCUGGUGGAGGGCAAGCAGUGCUGUUUGGUGGAGAGACCAGCACCAAUGGGUUACCUCUGUGGCAAAGCAACAGAAGUGCUGGGCAUCCAGUGAUUUCAUGCCGUGCCUGCAGGGAUUGCCAGAGAAGAGGUUUCACCACAUGCUCGAGGGGUCAGAAGCACUUGUACUAUAGAUGACUAUUGAUUUCCAGAAGGGAAGCAACUGAUGGAUUGCUGCAGGUCCACCUCUAGAAAUUGCCCAAGUGCUGCUUGACCCACUGUUCUUCACGCGCCCGCGGGGAGUGACUCCCCCAGCAGAAGCAACAGCAGCAGCGACAAAGAUGAAUGGCUUAUUUCCCCCAUAAUGCAACACAGAAACAGGUUUCUAUGAAAAAUAGAGCGCAGACUGAGACAGAGAGGGCGACAGUCACUUUUGAAGGUCACACAUAAUAUUUCUUUAUGGCAAGUUUUCCUUCUGUGAGUGAGAAAAGCGGGACGGAUCAAGUGUCUUCCAACGGACCUGGAUUAAAAAUGAAGUCAUGUUACUUGGAGAACUGACAGUCCCACCAGCAAUAAUAGAGGCUGCUGACAGUUCUGGCUUCACAAUAAAAAGCAUCUUCCCACGUUGUCAAAA
Long non-coding RNA from Calidris pugnax (ruff), 1740 nucleotides. RefSeq lists it as uncharacterized. The record is from RefSeq and is a predicted model, not a curated record. Lineage: Eukaryota; Metazoa; Chordata; Aves; Charadriiformes; Scolopacidae. The transcript has 4 exons.